Molecule: long non-coding RNA, 1264 nt
Organism: Paramormyrops kingsleyae
Lineage: Eukaryota; Metazoa; Chordata; Actinopteri; Osteoglossiformes; Mormyridae
Source: RefSeq, a predicted model, not a curated record
GCUGAAUGAUUUGACAGCCGAACGCUGCAGAUAUGGAAACGUCUGGCAAAAUGAACCAUUAACCCAAACCUGGGUUGAAUCAUGUUUAGCAGUCAGCAGGUUCUUAAAAACUUCAGUCAAGUGCUGAAUCACAGGAAGCUUUAAAAUUAAGUAAAUUAAGUGAAAUAAUGUUUUCGCAUAUCCUAUUUUGCUCUCGUUUGAAACAUACACACACACACACAGAGGUGAGAGUGAAGCUGGGGUCUGAGUAGAGGGUCAGGCCAUUUAUCCGGCAACCUGCAGCAUUUUGGGGGGUUAGGGGCCUUGCUGAAGAGCCCAAUGGACAUGUGACUAUUCUAUCAAGGAUGGGAUUUGAACUGGCGACCUUCUGAUGACAGAAGUCACACACCAUCACCCCAGUUUGAAGGACGUGUGGUUCACAACUGCUGGAAGGCCCGCCCACCAUGCAGAAGCUAAGACUGAUGGGAGAUGGGAGACCCCAGCGGACAAAGACCCCGACCCCCUCUCUCCCGCGGCUCGAAGACCCCCCCACGCGAUCCUGACUACUCUGGAUCGGAUACGCACAGCGGGCGACGAGAGCACCUAGAACAGGAUUUUUGUGCAGUGUGUGGAGGAUACGGUGCCCUGACAUCCCGCUGAACCUACCCCUCCCCCCAAAGUAACCGGGGAGCGCCAUCAUAAUUAACACCCGCUUAAUUACGGACUUGGAUGACACAGCCGUGCCUCCGACGUCGGAAUCCGGGGCUCCGUCUCCGCUGUAGGUCUGGCACCAAACCAGCGACCAUCCAAACGGAUCCAAGCUAAACUUGCCACGCGCUGCAAACCAGAAACAGUCCUCCGCGUGCCGAGAUAUCUGCGCUUAGAACGCAUGUCGUGAAUUUUCUGGGGUUCCCCACUGCCAACAAUAAGAAGAUGCGGGUCAAAAAAACAAAUCUGCUUGGCAUCUGCUAAAAACUAUGAAAAUGACAAUGUCGAUCCAAAGCAUAUAUACGACCCUAUUUGCUUUAUUUUUGUUAUGCAAAUGUUCUGAAUGGAAUUGCUUGUUUUGAAAGUGCUGCUAAAAACAAAACUGAGCUUUCAGAAGACAACGACCCUGAAAAGGAUUUAAGGCUAUUCUGCAACAAUAUUUCACAACACGGCUGAAAACUUUUUUUUUUCCUGGAGAAAUACCUUAUAAUUACUGAGCUGUGUUUUAAAUUAAAUUUAAAAUAUUGAAUCAAUUUAAGCAAAAAGUUGCUUGUUUGAGUGCAGAAAGCCCAAUUUC